CCAGAACCUGGGAGACCAUCUGAGCCGACCCGCCCAGAGCGCUCCGGGAAAGGCCCUAUGGACAGCUAAGGAAACUGACUUCCCAGCAGCUCCUGUCACCAGGGCCCAAAGUCCAUCCGGGAGCCAGGCCAUCACCUGACCAGGCAGGAAGUGCCAACCUGUCCCCAGGGAAGAACCAGCAAUAACCAGACUUGGGACAGCAGCCUCCAGGCCUUAUGAUUUUGGAAAACCCAGGACUACCCCAUAUUGCCCUCACACCCAUCUAACCCUCCACCACCCUCCACCGUGGGAGACCUGCCUCCCAUAGGCUCCAGCUUUGUCCCCCGCUGAACAUGGCCUCCUCCCCACAGACUCCAGCCUGGGCAGCCAGGCCAAAGUUUGGCUGGGUCUCCUUCGUUAUACAGAGACACCAGGAAGAGAAAGAGCCUGCAAAUCACACAGCCAGCGUUGGGAGCUCCUGUGGCUUCCUUCAGUGCUUAGACCAAUUGGAGGAGCCAGAAGUAUAGUGGAGGGUGGGGCAAUUCUGCAAAGUUGAAGGUGAGAGAUUAAUAAUUGUAUUCCUAUUCUAUGGAUAAGAAAGCCUAAGAGAGGUGGAGUGACUUGCCAAACAGUCACACAGAUAUCUCUGGACAGAAGUGGAACUUAAAACUGACUUGUGUUCAUG
This is a long non-coding RNA of Pteropus alecto (black flying fox), 664 nucleotides long. RefSeq lists it as uncharacterized. The record is from RefSeq and is a predicted model, not a curated record. The transcript has 2 exons. NCBI's taxonomy places the organism in Eukaryota, Metazoa, Chordata, Mammalia, Chiroptera, Pteropodidae.